CCAUUCAUGUGAACUUCACAUUUUCUCAUUUGAUCAGGAAGAACUUCUGUGAGAGAAGGACCAUGACUUGAAGGUUAAUAAAUGGUAUGAUAUAUCCAGUGGAUGUGUCUGUCUGUAAUUCACUUUGGAAUUAGAGUCCUUCUGAAACCUUACUUCGAAUAUAAAUCACCUGGGAAUCCUACUAAUGCAGAUUCUGAUUCAGCAGGUGGGUUAAGCUUGGAGGGGACCCUGAGAUCCACAUUUCUAACAGCUUUCAAGAGAUUCUGCCGCUGCUGAUCUCUAAACACUUUGAAUAGCCAGGGUAUCCAGUACUAAGUUUACAAAGGACUUGCUCAUACAUGAUCUCGUUUGAGCCUCACCCAAGCCCUGUGUGAUGUCCAUUAUUAUUUCUACCUUAGAGAUGAGAAACCGAGGGUCUGAUUAGAAAUAGCUACCCUGGGAAUUCUCCUGUGCUGCAGCUAGUUAAGGAUCUGGCUUUGUCACUACAGUGGCUGGGGGCACCGCUCUGGCUCAGGUGUGAUCCCUGGCCUGGGAACGUCCACAUGCUGCAAUUGUAGCCAAAAAAAAAAAAAAAGAAAGAAAAGAAAAGAAAAGAAAUGGCUACCCUUUUUAAGUGUUAGGUAUUUAUUUCUAGGGAUGCAAUUGCAAACAAGACAGAUAUGGAACUUAUUUAAAGAAACUGACAGUCCAGGAAGGAAGACUCUGAAUAAUCAUAUUGGAAAAGUUCUGAGUGUCUUCAUGGAUGUUAUGCUCUGGAUGUUGCCAUUCAUCAUAAGAGGGAGCAAACCAGGCUUGGGACACGGGGGCAUGAUGAAGAACUUAGAAUGGGCUCCUACAAUAGGAACCUGUCUGAACAGUGAUUAUGGAUUGGCAGAAAAAGAGGAGCCCACAAAAAGGAACAAGAAGCAUCCAUCAGGAAGAUAGGAGGAAAACCACAGAAGCUGAGGAAGGAGUGGUUCAUCACUGAUAAUGGGAUAAGCCAGUAUUACCUGCCUCCUGAAAACCAUGCUCCAAGAAGGGCACAAUGUCAGUUCAAUAGUAUCCAUGCCAAGAAAUGCAUAUCCAGAAUCUAAUCCUGAGAAAGCAUCAGACAAACCCAAAUUGAGGAACAUUCUACAAAACAACUGUAUUCUUCAAAAAUAUUUACAUCUUGGAGUCCCCUGGUGGCCUAGCAUUUAAGGAUCUGGCAUUGUCACUACUGUGGCACUGGUUCGGUCCAUGGCCUGGUAACUUCUUUCUGCAUGCCAGCGGGUGUGGCCAAAACAUUCUACACCUUGAAAAACUAAGGAAAUGUUCCAGAUAAAAGGAGACUAAAGACAUGACAACAAAAUGCAAUGUAUGAUUCUUGAUUUGAUCUUAGAUCAGAAUAAAAUCACUAUAAAAGACAUAGGAACACUUUUAAAUAUUUUAAAACAGGUUAUCUCUUAGGUAAGAGUUAGCUAUAAACUGAAUGUUUGUAUCCCCUGCGAGAUUCACAUGUUAAAUCCUAAGCCCCUGAGGUGAUGAUAUUUGGAAGUAAGGCCUUUGGGAGACGAUUGGGUUAUGAGGGUGGGGCCUUCAUGAAUGGGAUUAGUGCCCUUAUAAAAGAGGUUCCAGAGAGUUUCCUUGCCCUUUCUGUCUUAUGAGGGGCAUCUUCUGUGCCCCUCAUAAGAUGACUGUCUAUGAAACAGUGAGCCCUGCCUCACCAGACACUGAAUCUGCUGGCACCUUAACCUCGGACUUCCCAGCCUCCACAACUGUGAGAAAUAAAUUUCUGUUGUUUAUAAGCCACCCGGUCUGUGGUAUUCUGUUAUAGAAACCCAGAAGGGCUAAGACAAUAAUAUUUCAUCAAUGUUAUUUUUCCAGAAUUUGAUCAUUGUGCUGUGAUGAUUCAAUAUAAAGUAUUUGUUCCUAGGAAAUGCAUUGAAGUAUUGAGAAAUGAAGGGUUGUAAUGUCUGCAGCUUACUCUUCCAUGGUCCUGAAAAAAAAAAAGGACAAACGUAAGGCAAAAAAAUAUUAAUUGAUGAAUAUGGAUGAAGGAGAUACGAGUAUUUACUAAUUUUACAACUUUUCUCAAGUUUUCUAUAGAAAACUUUCCAAAUGAAGUGUUAGAGAAGUGGUAUGUACAGUGUAAAUUCUUGGGAGAAGUCAGGUCAUGAUAAAUGUCAAAGGUGUCCAUUGGAUUUAGCAACAUGGAUUUAGCCUUGAAUUCAUGGCACUUAUAUUCUAGAAAGAAACUCAUAAAUGAAUAUAUAAUUACGGAUUGAAAUAGGGGUUGGGAAAAAAAAAAAAAAACACAGAAUGCCUGUGAGAGAAUGACAUGGAUAUAAUGAGUGUUUUGGUCAGACCAGUUCUAGUGGAGUGGAGGGUGGAAUAGCCAGCCCGCAGUGGCAUGAUCAGGGGGAAGAGGGUAUGGAAAUUGUGAGGGUAGAUGCCUUCUUCUAGAAGCUUGGGUAAAGAGCAGGGAUCUAUAGAGAGCAGCCACUAGAGGGAGAGGUGGGGUCGAGGUGGAGUCAAUGUGGAAACAGGAGAGUCAAGGAAGGUUUGGGAGAGGUGGUUACAUUUUCACAGGGGUUUUGAAGGAGGAGGAAAGUGCAUCUUCUGUACAUGGGGAGCGAGGCUGGGCACUGGGGAAUUGGGUGUGUUUUGAGCACAGAAUGGGUGGUGGUGGCGUGAUAGGGGCAGCUGAGACAGCAGGUACGGAUUAGAUUUAGAAGAACUUUAUGUUCCAGGCUGAGUACCUUAGCCUUGGCCUGGAGGGGUUAAACCUCUUAUCUCAUGUCUCAGCUGGAAGAUCACAGGUUUGGAAGUGCAACCCUCAUCCCAGUCUCCUCUAUAGGUAGGAAAAUGUGUUUUAUGAAGUGCUCCUAGGUACUCCAGCCAGAAGCCAAGGUACCGUCCUUGCCAGCACCCUCUUCCAGCUCCCACACAGGGAAGCCCUUCUGUUCUACCUCCUGACUGUGUCCGUUUACAGUUCUCCACCUCCACUGCCGCCACCCUGGUCCAAACAUGGUCAUGUCCCCUGUUGCAACUUCUUCUCCCUCUCCACUCACCAGAUGACAAGUUACUUAACGAUGCAAAUUGAACCACCUCCCCCUCCUCAAAAAUGAUUCUAUGAUUUCGUUUUAUCAUUCAGGGGAAAUUGUGAAGCUCUUCAGCAUGGCAGGUCAGGUCCUGGCUUCUGCCUCCCUCUCCAGCCUUACUGUGUCCCUCCUGCCUCUUCUUUACUCAACUCCAACUUUAAGUUUCUUGGGUUUUCAAUUCUUUGGUGGGGCAAAGCUCUCUUCUGACUCUGGGUCUUUGUCUUUCACUCUCUUCCCUCUGCCUCUCUUUUCCCUUUGCCUGAUUAACCCCUGUAUUGUUUUGAUAGUGCUGCUGUAAUGAAAUAACCAGAGACUGAAUGGCUUAAACAACAUAAACUUGUUUUUUUCACAGUUCUGGAGGCUACAGGUGUGAGGUCUAGCUGUCAGCAUCUUGGUUUCUUCUGAGGCCUUGCUCCUUGGCUUGUAGAUGGCUGUCUUCUCCCUGGGUCUUAAUAUGCUCUUCCGUGUGUGUAUCUGCCUCUGAAUUUCCUCUUCCUAUAAGGACACUAGUCAUAUUGGAUUAAGACUUACCCUGGAGUUCCCAAUGUGGGGCAGCAAAUUAAGAACCAGGGAGUUCCCGUCGUGGCGCAGUGGUUAACGAAUCCGACUAGGAACCAUGAGGUUGCGGGUUCGGUCCCUGCCCUUGCUCAGUGGGUUAACGAUCCGGCGUUGCCGUGAGCUGUGGUGUAGGUUGCAGACGCGGCUCGGAUCCUGCGUUGCUGUGGCUCUGGCGUAGGCCGGGGGCUACAGCUCCGAUUCAACCCCUAGCCUGGGAACCUCCAUAUGCAGCGGAAGCGGCCCAAAGAAAUAGCAAAAAGACAAAAAAAAAAAAAAAAAAAA
This 3902-nucleotide long non-coding RNA is filed under the name Sus scrofa (pig). RNAcentral describes it as "lncRNA (ENSSSCG00005010145.1)". The record is from RNAcentral. Lineage: Eukaryota; Metazoa; Chordata; Mammalia; Artiodactyla; Suidae.